Molecule: ribosomal RNA, 553 nt
Filed under: uncultured bacterium
Lineage: Bacteria
Description: bacterial SSU rRNA
Rfam family: Bacterial small subunit ribosomal RNA
Source: RNAcentral
GGCGGCGUGUAUUAGGCAUGCAAGUCGCACGGCACUUUCGGGUGCAGUGGCGGACGGGUGAGUAACACGUGGGUAACCUGCCUUCCAGUGGGGAAUAACUCGCCGAAAGGCGAGCUAAUACCGCAUAUUACUCCUGGUGGGAUUCCGGGAAGUAAAAGCAGUAAUGCGCUGGAAGAGGGGCCCGCGGCCGAUUAGCUUGUUGGUGGGGUAACGGCCUACCAAGGCGACGAUCGGUAGCUGGUCUGAGAGGAUGGUCAGCCACACGGGGACUGAGAUACGGCCCCGACUCCUACGGGAGGCAGCAGCUAAGAAUCUUGCGCAAUGGGCGAAAGCCUGACGCAGCAACGCCGCGUGGGGGACGAAGGCCUUCGGGUUGUAAACCCCUUUUGCGAGGGAAGAAGUUCUGACGGUACCUCGCGAAUAAGCCACGGCUAACUACGUGCCAGCAGCCGCGGUAAUACGUAGGUGGCGAGCGUUGUCCGGAUUUAUUGGGCGUAAAGAGCCCGCAGGCGGCUUGGCAAGUUUCAGGUGAAAUCUCCCGGCUUAACCGGGA